GAUGUGUGUGCCCCAGUGGAAGUCCAGGCUUUUUUGGAGGUAACCGCUACCACGGUGGACAGGGUUCAUCAUAUUCUGGAAGCCGUCAAUAUGGUGGCCAGGCAU
Molecule: long non-coding RNA, 105 nt
Organism: Calypte anna (Anna's hummingbird)
Lineage: Eukaryota; Metazoa; Chordata; Aves; Apodiformes; Trochilidae
Exons: 3
Source: RefSeq, a predicted model, not a curated record